CUUGGUGAGUAUAGCUAUGGGGGUACACCUAGUUACAUUCCGAACCUAGAAGUUAAGCCCAUAUACGCUGAUAGUACUUGGCUGGAAGCGGCCUGGGAGAGUAUGGAUUUGCCAAGC
This 117-nucleotide ribosomal RNA is filed under the name Fusobacterium polymorphum. The record is from RNAcentral. Lineage: Bacteria; Fusobacteriati; Fusobacteriota; Fusobacteriia; Fusobacteriales; Fusobacteriaceae. RNAcentral also lists the same sequence under 1 other name.